Gasterosteus aculeatus aculeatus (three-spined stickleback) is the source of this 1734-nucleotide long non-coding RNA. Lineage: Eukaryota; Metazoa; Chordata; Actinopteri; Perciformes; Gasterosteidae. The record is from Ensembl.
UGAAGGGGGUGGGAGGGGGGGUCUUUAGCAGUGGGGCUUCCUCCACAUUUUAUCCUCUGAGCAACUACAAAAAGCAAUCUGUUAAUAACCAACUGACACGCCUCGAAGGGCUAAAUAUUUGGACAAUCGGGAAAUUCAAAGUAUACGUAUCAAGCUGUAGAAGCUCCCAAAUGAUGCAAUAACACGUUUCCACUGUGGAGGGUGGAGCUUCGCCACGUGGCUCAGAUAUUUCCGGUACAUUUGGUAAGAACAAUGCCGGUGCACUCCAAAUCAUAAAUGUAUUUAAAUAAACAUGUUGGUCCCUCAUUGGAUCAAAAUACCUAAAAACUGGACCUGCCGUCCUUUACAUACUCGGUAUUAAUGGGCUGAGAGGCUCUGUGAUGGCAGCUGUGGCUAAUCAUAAAAAUAUGUUUACAUUCUUGUGGGUUCUUGUUAAAUAGUUUUCUUGCUGAUCAUCACGUACAAUAUCCUUUCCCUCUUCAUAUAAUUUACAACUGUUACAUGUAAAUGUGACUUUAAAUGAACGGAAGUUUCCCUCAAUCUCCUUCUAAUAGUCAACAGACAGGGAAGAAUUAUGUAUCACUCUGUCCACUUACUCUAUACGGAGUCUUUAUUGUGCUUCGGCUCACAGCCAGAAUUAUAUCAUCUAGCCAAUAGCCUUAUUCCACUAACCCAUUGCAUUAGCAUUUCAUUUGAUUUUAUUUCUUUACUUGUGCACCGCUGUCUUGUCUAUUGUUACACUGUCUACUGCCUCGCACCAACCGCCAAGACAAAUUCCUUGUAUAUUUGACAUAUUUUGGCAAUAAAUGUUUCCUGAUUCCUGAUCUCUCUGACCGGAGAAAAUAAAAUCAACUACUUCCUACAGGGAGGUCUCGAGCAAAGAGUCAGAGUUGAAGGAGCGGAUUCAUUUUCACGACACUUCUUUAUAAAAGGAGGGACAUGAUGUCCCUUUGACUUAAUCAAUCAGAAACAAGAACAAAGAGAACUAGAAAAGGCAUUUCCUGCUGAAAAUGCGUUGGAAUGCAAAAAGCUGAAAGCUGCACUGAAUAUUUGAAAAUAGCUGAAAAUACAGAAAGUUGAAGGGAAUUUGAAUACAUUUGCUGAAUAUUUAAAAAUAGCUGAAAAUACAGAAAGUUGAAGGGAAUUUGAGUACAUUUGCUGAAUAUUUGAAAAUAGCUGAAAAUACAGAAAGUUGAAGGGAAUUUGAAUACAUUUGCUGAAAAUAUUAGAAAAGCUGAAAUUAAUUUGAAAUAGCUGAAAAUACAGAAAUGGGAGAAGCUGAAAGGAAUUUCAAUAGAUUUGCUGAAAAAGCAGAAAUGAAAACAGCUGAAAUAAAUGUGAAAUAUUGCAAGACAGAAGUUGCAGGAGCUUGAAUGAAUUUUAAAAAGUACAGAAAUAACAAAAGCUGAGAUGAAUAAAAAGAGGUUUAAAAUUGUUUGUAGUAUUGUUAGUUGUAAUUUGGGUAUUAGUACUAGCAGUAGAAGUCGGUUUAGUAUCAAUAGCAGUAGAAACAGCUGGAAUACUGAUACUAUUAGCCAUAGUAGUAUUUGUAAUAACAUUAGUAGUAGUUGUAUUAAUAGCAGUAGAAAUACUAGUAGUAUGGUAGUAGAAGUAUCAGUUGUAGUUCUACUAGAAGUACUAGUAAUAUUCGUAGUGGUUAUAGUAGUAUUUGAAAGAGCAAUGCGUAUUUCAACGAAACCGCUUCAUGGUUAAGGUACAGAUAAUCAUUGAGGC